This 483-nucleotide ribosomal RNA is filed under the name uncultured bacterium. RNAcentral's name for it is "partial 16S ribosomal RNA". It matches the Rfam family "Bacterial small subunit ribosomal RNA", at positions 28 to 523 of the family's 1533-position model. The record is from RNAcentral.
GACGAACGCUGGCGGCGUGCUUAACACAUGCAAGUCGAACGAUGAAGCUGGAGCUUGCUCCGGUGGAUUAGUGGCGAACGGGUGAGUAACACGUGAGCAAUCUGCCCUUGACUCUGGGAUAACUGCGGGAAACUGUAGCUAAUACCGGAUAUGAGAUCUGAAGGCAUCUUCGGGUUUGGAAAGAAUUUCGGUCAAGGAUGAGCUCGCGGCCUAUCAGCUAGUUGGUGAGGUAAUGGCUCACCAAGGCGACGACGGGUAGCCGGCCUGAGAGGGGGACCGGCCACACUGGAACUGAGACACGGUCCAGGCUCCUACGGGAGGCAGCAGUGGGGAAUAGUGCACAAUGGGCGAAAGCCUGAUGCAGCAACGCCGCGUGAGGGAUGAAGGCCUUCGGGUUGUAAACCUCUUUUAGCAGGGAAGAAGCGAAAGUGACGGUACCUGCAGAAAAAGCACCGGCUAACUACGUGCCAGCCGCCGCGGUAA